This 423-nucleotide ribosomal RNA is filed under the name uncultured bacterium. RNAcentral's name for it is "bacterial SSU rRNA". It matches the Rfam family "Bacterial small subunit ribosomal RNA", at positions 358 to 773 of the family's 1533-position model. The record is from RNAcentral.
GGAAUCUUGGACAAUGGGGGCAACCCUGAUCCAGCCAUGCCGCGUGUGUGAAGAAGGCCUUCGGGUUGUAAAGCACUUUAAGUUGGGAGGAAGGCUCAGGUGUUAAUAGCAUCUGGGAUUGACGUUACCAACAGAAUAAGCACCGGCUAACUCCGUGCCAGCAGCCGCGGUAAUACGGAGGGUGCAAGCGUUAAUCGGAAUUACUGGGCGUAAAGCGCGCGUAGGCGGCUGAUUAAGUCGGGUGUGAAAGCCCCGGGCUCAACCUGGGAAUUGCAUCCGAUACUGAUCGGCUAGAGUAUGAGAGAGGGAGGUAGAAUUCCACGUGUAGCGGUGAAAUGCGUAGAUAUGUGGAGGAAUACCGGUGGCGAAGGCGGCCUCCUGGCUUAAUACUGACGCUGAGGUGCGAAAGCGUGGGGAGCAAAC